This 547-nucleotide ribosomal RNA is filed under the name uncultured Glomeromycotina. RNAcentral's name for it is "SSU rRNA". It matches the Rfam family "Eukaryotic small subunit ribosomal RNA", at positions 550 to 1098 of the family's 1831-position model. Lineage: Eukaryota; Fungi; Glomeromycota. The record is from RNAcentral.
GGAGGGCAAGUCUGGUGCCAGCAGCCGCGGUAAUUCCAGCUCCAAUAGCGUAUAUUAAAGUUGUUGCAGUUAAAAAGCUCGUAGUUGAAUUUCGGGGUCAGUAGGUCGGUCGUGCCACUGGUAUGAACUGGUUUUACUGAUUCCUCCCUCUUGAAGAACUGUAAUGCCAUUAAUUUGAUGUUGCAGGGAAUCAGGACUGUUACUUUGAAAAAAUUAGAGUGUUUAAAGCAGGCUUUAGCUUGAAUACAUUAGCAUGGAAUAAUGAAAUAGGACGUUUGAUCCUAUUUUGUUGGUUUCUAGGAUUGACGUAAUGAUUAAUAGGGAUAGUUGGGGGCAUUAGUAUUCAAUUGUCAGAGGUGAAAUUCUUGGAUUUAUUGAAGACUAACUACUGCGAAAGCAUUUGCCAAGGAUGUUUUCAUUAAUCAAGAACGAAAGUUAGGGGAUCGAAGACGAUCAGAUACCGUCGUAGUCUUAACCAUAAACUAUGCCGACUAGGGAUCGGAUGAUGUUAAUUUUUUAAUGACUCAUUCGGCGCCUUACGGGAAAC